This 271-nucleotide ribosomal RNA is filed under the name uncultured bacterium. RNAcentral describes it as "partial 16S ribosomal RNA". It matches the Rfam family "Bacterial small subunit ribosomal RNA", at positions 524 to 794 of the family's 1533-position model. The record is from RNAcentral.
UACGUAGGGUGCGAGCGUUAAUCGGAAUUACUGGGCGUAAAGCGUGCGCAGGCGGUUGUGCAAGACAGAUGUGAAAUCCCCGGGCUUAACCUGGGAACUGCAUUUGUGACUGCACGGCUAGAGUGUGUCAGAGGGGGGUGGAAUUCCACGUGUAGCAGUGAAAUGCGUAGAGAUGUGGAGGAACACCGAUGGCGAAGGCAGCCCCCUGGGUCAACACUGACGCUCAUGCACGAAAGCGUGGGUAGCAAACAGGAUUAGAUACCCGGGUAGU